AGGGGGAUAACUACUGGAAACGGUAGCUAAUACCGCAUAACGUCUUCGGACCAAAGUGGGGGACCUUCGGGCCUCACACCAUCGGAUGUGCCCAGAUGGGAUUAGCUAGUAGGUGGGGUAAUGGCUCACCUAGGCGACGAUCCCUAGCUGGUCUGAGAGGAUGACCAGCCACACUGGAACUGAGACACGGUCCAGACUCCUACGGGAGGCAGCAGUGGGGAAUAUUGCACAAUGGGCGCAAGCCUGAUGCAGCCAUGCCGCGUGUAUGAAGAAGGCCUUCGGGUUGUAAAGUACUUUCAGCGGGGAGGAAGGCGAUAAGGUUAAUAACCUUGUCGAUUGACGUUACCCGCAGAAGAAGCACCGGCUAACUCCGUGCCAGCAGCCGCGGUAAUACGGAGGGUGCAAGCGUUAAUCGGAAUUACUGGGCGUAAAGCGCACGCAGGCGGUCUGUCAAGUCAGAUGUGAAAUCCCCGGGCUAAACCUGGGAACUGCAUUUGAAACUGGCAGGCUAGAGUCUUGUAGAGGGGGGUAGAAUUCCAGGUGUAGCGGUGAAAUGCGUA
Molecule: ribosomal RNA, 560 nt
Filed under: Erwinia sp. R1-3
Lineage: Bacteria; Pseudomonadati; Pseudomonadota; Gammaproteobacteria; Enterobacterales; Erwiniaceae
Description: bacterial SSU rRNA
Rfam family: Bacterial small subunit ribosomal RNA
Source: RNAcentral